AUUGAACGCUGGCGGCAUGCCUUACACAUGCAAGUCGAACGGCAGCACGGGUGCUUGCACCUGGUGGCGAGUGGCGAACGGGUGAGUAAUACAUCGGAACAUGUCCUGUAGUGGGGGAUAGACCGGCGAAAGCCGGAUUAAUACCGCAUACGAUCUACGGAUGAAAGCGGGGGACCUUCGGGCCUCGCGCUAUAGGGUUGGCCGAUGGCUGAUUAGCUAGUUGGUGGGGUAAAGGCCUACCAAGGCGACGAUCAGUAGCUGGUCUGAGAGGACGACCAGCCACACUGGGACUGAGACACGGCCCAGACUCCUACGGGAGGCAGCAGUGGGGAAUUUUGGACAAUGGGCGAAAGCCUGAUCCAGCAAUGCCGCGUGUGUGAAGAAGGCCUUCGGGUUGUAAAGCACUUUUGUCCGGAAAGAAAUCCUUGGCCCUAAUACGGUCGGGGGAUGACGGUACCGGAAGAAUAAGCACCGGCUAACUACGUG
This 486-nucleotide ribosomal RNA is filed under the name uncultured bacterium. RNAcentral describes it as "partial 16S ribosomal RNA". It matches the Rfam family "Bacterial small subunit ribosomal RNA", at positions 30 to 507 of the family's 1533-position model. The record is from RNAcentral.